Long non-coding RNA from Pezoporus flaviventris, 5078 nucleotides. RefSeq lists it as uncharacterized. The transcript has 3 exons. The record is from RefSeq and is a predicted model, not a curated record. Lineage: Eukaryota; Metazoa; Chordata; Aves; Psittaciformes; Psittacidae.
AGCUGACCGCUAUAUUCUCAGUAUUUUUGUAUGUUCUAGAUAGAAUUCUAUAUGGUUCGAAGUGUAAUUCUUUUGGUUCAGUUUCUCAAGCUUCAUUUCUCCCUGUACUUUCUCAACAAAGUAAUUGCCUCGAACCUCUUCUAACACACAUAGAAAACAUGAUUUUAUAGGCACUGUCCAUUGCUAGCUAAAAGCCAGGGUAUGAAGGAGUGGUGCUUAGUGGGAUUUUUGAAAGGUAACUGACACCAAAUUGCCAUGGAAAUGGAUAUGAUUUAGACAAUUGAAUAAUAUCUUCCAGUAUCUAUCUCCCUUUGCAGUGAGCUCAAUGCUUCUUAAAAACCUGGCCCAUCACCUCUGUGCAGUGCCAUCAUACUUUUCCAUAAGGGUAUUUCCCUUCCUGGCACAAAGGAGGUUGCUGGCCUCAUCAGAAGAGCAAUGCAGUAAGAGGGAGCUGACUGCAACAUCUGCACUGGAUUGUGUUAUUUCCAAGCUUCUAGUUUGGAGACAUCGGUAGGAUGAAAGGCAUUGAAACCUCUCCCUAGCACCUACUCCCUGAUUGCAGUGAUAAGGUUUCUGGUUGCAAGGGAAGCAAGAUGGUUUGUUGAGGGGAAAUUGCAGAGGUUAAUGCCUCCCACUCCCCUGUUCUCUGCAAGUUUGGGAUUCUAUGACUUCAUACAAUAGGAAGAUGAUCCCAUUCCGUCCAAGAUAAGCCAUCAUGGUGGGCAGCACAUGGGAGUAGGAGGUAAAGGUGAAGGUGCAGUUUUGGCUGGUGACCUUUGGCAAGUCUCUCUAGGAGACCUCCCACUGCAGCAGGCAAAGGCUGGAAAGAACCCAUCAGACCCUUGCCUGUGUUUCCACUCCUGCUGGAAUGCGAAUUCCUUUUGCACUGACCCAGGACAAACACACCUGUGUUCUCUUCUUGCCUUAGCAUUCUAUUUUGCACCAGUGAAUAAUAGCAAAACAGAAGAGCAAGCUUUGUGGUUCAGGAAGCUGACAGUUAUUAAAAGUAAAUUUCACAAGGAGGCAAGAGGGAGGAAGGGGAAUUCUGAUGAAUCCCUGAUAUGUAUGGAAUGUUGUUUUUAUACGGGAAUAAAGCAGACUUCAGAGUUUCUUCAAUUACAUUUUAGGAGUUUUAUUAUUUGAAAAUAAUUGCCUGUAGUUGCUUUAUUUCUCCUGAGCCAGGGCAGUUCUGAUUGACGUGACUGGAACAAACAGGGUUGUGUAAGUCUGCAGAGGUUUCCUGGUACGCUGGCCAGCUACAGGCUUUGUACUGAUGCUUAUCGUAACCGUGCAGUUCUCACCUGACAUCUGUGUCACAGUCACACACCGUGUGUCUGCAGUGAUGCUAACAUAAGUCAUUCCCACAGAGUGUUCUCCAGCACGGCCCUGGAAGGAUGCCUGCAGCCACCGGCAGCUUCUUCUAGCCCACAGAUGCAACAACAAGAGAAAGAUCACCUCUGAGUUAGCAAGAAGCACCAGAAAGGCCCGCUCAGGGAAGGGGAUGGGUGGACAGACUGUCUACUUAAAGAGCCAUCUGCAAAGAUGGUGCAGAACAGAAGCAGAACAGGAUCAAAGGCUGUGUAUUAUUUCACUGUGUAAGUCUGCAAUGGAGACACAAAGGGAAGUGAUUUCUCCUCUUCAGUCUAUCAUGUCAUUUUAUGUCAAGGAUAGUAAAUGAAGGCUCUUCCUUGUUGCUGAGCAAAAAGAUUUAACAGGAAACCUUUGAGCUGAGGACAAGGCAGAGCUGGCAUUGGGAUUGCCCAUUCUGGGACGUGCUCUUGCACUGUCAAUAUCCAGGAGGAGCUUGGAUCUUGAAUCCAGUCUUGUUUUGGGCCAGUUAAUGCAGCUGAGUCAGAUAAGCUUGGACAGUCAGGGAAACAUGGAUGUUAUAAUUGUCUUCUUGAGGCUUUCCAGUGACUCCCUCGGUUUGCAUUAUCUGUAUUAUGCUGGCUGGGGUCUGAGUCAGGGAAACAUUUGACCCUGAGCUUUGUUCACUCCUACUCGGACAUUUCAGAGCUUUGCACUUAAGCAUUUUCCUGGAGCGUGGUGGUUUUCUGAGGUAAUGUCUGGAGCCAUCCCACUGCAGUUAAUGGAGAAAGAUCCUGUUGACUCUUGGAGGCUUGGAUUCCGCUUUCUCUUGAGUAAUGUUGACAAUGCUGAGAAAAAAUCUGGGAUUCUCUCACAGGCACCACUCACAGUAUGUAGUCCUUGAAGGGGACAGGGUGACCACCUCACCCAUCUUCACUUGCACUCUCCUGGAGAUGCACAGAUUGAUAUGGUUUGAAUGUUUCAGGGGACCAAUAGUGAAGAAUCAGUGACAGUUCAGACAGUUGUGGAGGAGGUAGAAGGUUCUUUAUCUCUGCUCUCUAGCCUUGGGCAGCAUGGUCUAAUGUUAGGUGUGAGGGCUGUGGCAGGGGGUUGGAACUGGAUGAUCUUAAGGUCCUUUCCAACCCAAACCAUUCUAUGAUUCUAUAUUGCUUCUCAAACCAAGAAACCACAGCCAGGACCAGCCGUGGUAACAGUGGAUGUACAGUGACCUACUUUUAACACAGCUUAUGUAGCCUGUCGUGCUGCUUUAUGCUUGAAUGGCAGAAUUUGCAACAAAAGGUCAAUUUAUGGCAGCCUUUUAUUGCAAGGUUCUUUUGCUCUAGUCCUAAGUUAUAAUGACAAAAUGCUGUGCUGAGUACAAUGGGAACUGCAAAAAUCAGCCCCACUUUUUAUGUAAAGCUUUAAACUUUAUCUAUUUUAAACAGCUUUGGUGCUAAGCUAAUUUUUUUUUGUUUGGUUGCUUAUGAAAAGAGCUUUAUUACUUGCAUGGAGAGAAAUACAGGAACAUUUGUGAGUAUGAACAGAAAGGCUCAGCAAUGGGGGCUUUAAGUAAAGCCAUACAAAACACUUCUGAAGCUCAGCAAACCUGCAUGGAGAGAGGAGAGUCUAAACCACAGCAGCCCAGAAAAGGGAAAACUGCAUAGGGAGAAACAAAUGGGAGCUUCCCCCUGCUAAGGGAAGGCACAAAGUAAAUCUGCUGUGACCCAACCACACAGGGUCACAAACUAGCCGAGAUAAAUGCAGGAAGAAGGACACUGUGACAAUAGUUAGCCCAGAGGGCUGAGACACAUGGCUGAGUCCCUACAUGUCAGCUGUGCUGCAAUAGCUGACUGAUUCAUGCACUUUGCCUAGGGCAGCCAUGAGGUAAAACACAUUAUGUUAAGCCUCAGUGGAAGAGGGUUAGAUGAAUGUGCUUCCCUUGCAGAGGGGUGAGAGCACAUACGUGAUCAGUUACCACAGCGCAGAUAACGUGUGAGCAUCCUCCAGCUCUCUGAGCACCCACUGGGCUCCCUUUCUGAAAAGACCAGACCCCUUUCUAACAAGCCUGUUGCAAAUAGGAGCUGUGGAGUGUGUUAGCAUAAACCCUUUUUGCUGCCAGCUCAGGGUAAGCAUAUGAUGAAGCAGAAGGUCCCAAUGCCUUGUGGUGCCUCCUUAGGCUUUAGUAACUCCCUUGCGUAUCUAAAUGUUCAGCAGGGCCCUGCCAUUGACAAAUGUUGCACAUGGGGAGAUGCUUUAAGCCUGUACAGAGCCUUGUUGAGCUGAAAGGGUGGCUUGUCAUAAAACCUGGGUGAUGGCAGCCUGUGUCAAGCUAUCCUAGUAGGGUGCCAAGGACUGUGCCCCCAGUACAGGCAGGGCCUUGUUUUCCUCUCCACUCAGCUUUCUUCCAGAUAGCACAAGCAGCCUUGCCAAGGUUGCUCUACAGCUUCUACUGCUGCCAAUAAUCUGGGUAAUCUCUUAUCUCGCCUUAUUUCACAUGUUUAUAGCCAUGACAGCCAAACCCUAGACAAUGUGUAAUGGGUGAGUUAUGUUAGAGGUUGUCGAGCCAAUAACGAUGUGGAGGAAGGGCAUUGCUAGCUGUGUACUAGAGCUCAGAGCACCAGGGGUGGAAAUCUGUAAUGGCAAAUGAUUUGAGAAAUGUUCUGUCCCAGCUUCAGUCUACUCAUUCACUGCACUGCCUGCUCUUUGGGACUGAUGGAGGGUUUUGCCUAGAGGCAGUUGAAUGUUACUGGUUAUGAGACACUCAGCUACAACGUCAAGUGAAAGGCUUGUUAGUCAUCUUCACUUCUAUCCCGUGUAUCAUCACAGCUAAUAAACAUCCUGCAGCUGGCUUCCAGGGCGCUGGGAAGUUGGACACUCUUCACUCUCUAUCUCUGUGUGCUCCCAGUGCUAUGUCUGGGUUCGCACUGGCUGGGACUCUGGCCAAAGUGAAUCUCCAACAGCAGUUGGAAAAGAUAGAAAGAAAUUGUAUCUUUCUUAGCUGGAUUGACUUGUGAGUUCUGGCAGGGCUAAGGAGCUCUUCAGACAGAAUUGAAGCUGAUAUGCAUAUUCAGAUACUCCACACAGAGCAUCAUCUCUCACAUGCAAGCAUGUACAGUCCCUUUCUCAGUCUUAAUCACUGGGUACAUCUAAAGAUAAAGGUGAUUAAAAACAUUCAUCAGUCGGGACCUGACAUCACUGUUUGCAUCAAGGAAGUAGGUCUGCACUUCUGUAACAUCAUGGGAUCUCACCACAAGCAUCACAGUAGAACUGGCAGCAUGGGUUGUCUUCUUUUAUAACACAUAGGGGGGCAAAGCUUCUUUUAAAGACCUGAUCUUAACUUGGGCUGCACAUCUCAUGAGUCCUUUCCUGAGAAGCGCUCAGUACAUUUGUGAAUCAGAUGGUUGAAACAAUGAUGAACUGUGAAGACAAGUGCCUCAAUGUAUGAGCUUUCUCAGAGGAAGUCCUAACCACAUCCUGAGUUAGGAUGCCAUGUUUGCUAUCAUCUUAUCAAACAGCACUUGCUGUUACCAGCCUGUAUCGGUGGCAGCAAGGCAUGAGUGUUGAAGUAGAGAGAGAUAAUGGAAAGGGAAAAUUCUCUCAGCAGUCAGCUGGGAAGACAUGUGAUGCCCUCCCCCCCACCUUGGGUGUCCUCUCCAGUGUAGCAGGGUCUCCCUGUUAUAAUGCUCCAUAUUAACUGCACAGUUUUCAUUAGGAAUUGUUUGGAGGGAAUUUCUGCUUUAUUCCUGCUCUCAGCACCAUUGGGAGCACAA